Molecule: long non-coding RNA, 613 nt
Organism: Exaiptasia diaphana
Lineage: Eukaryota; Metazoa; Cnidaria; Anthozoa; Actiniaria; Aiptasiidae
Exons: 2
Source: RefSeq, a predicted model, not a curated record
ACCCAUGAAUCAUUGAGCACUUUCAUGCUCAGCAUGAACAACCGUGAGGCAUUGCGAGCAUUUUCAUGCUCAGCAUGAACAACCGUGAGGCAUUGCGAGCAUUAUCAUGGUACGUACAGGAGCCAAUGGCGGAUUUAGGCACGUAAACGCUAAUAAGUAAAGAGAAAGUUAGUCGGAAGCUGAUUCUUAUUGAAAUUUUUAAUAACUUGGAUAUGUGAGUUAUAGUUGACGCUCGUAGAUUACAAUUUAUGUCUUCCAAUGACUUCUACAUCUACAUCGUAUAGUCUUUUGUACGACAGUGUUGUGUCCACCACUACAUCACAGGGGAAUACCAAGAAGUUCAGAAAGUCUUUCAUGUUGUUGACAAAGUUGCUGUAGACUGUGUUGUUUGUGUCAAAAUUAUAAGUCUGCUUAACAGCAUUGGAUGUUUUCUUUAAAACAACCACUGGUGAAACAGUAUGUGGAAAGUGCUUAUCUGAGUAAAAAAGUAGCUCGUGUUAAGGCUCAUACAUUGUACCAAUUAUUAUGCUGUUACAGGACUGAUAAUAUAUUCUUGAAAUAUUUGUAGAAUGGAUAGCAUAUAGAUAGUUCUGUAUCACAAUGUUUCUUUUUA